RNAcentral lists this transfer RNA (36 nucleotides) under Rhus aromatica. Its description in RNAcentral is "partial tRNA-Leu". Lineage: Eukaryota; Viridiplantae; Streptophyta; Magnoliopsida; Sapindales; Anacardiaceae. The record is from RNAcentral.
GACUUAAAAAAUCCGUCGACUUUAUAAAUCAUGAGG